Molecule: small RNA, 228 nt
Filed under: Paenibacillus sp.
Lineage: Bacteria; Bacillati; Bacillota; Bacilli; Caryophanales; Paenibacillaceae
Also listed under: 1 other name
Description: c-di-AMP sequence
Rfam family: c-di-AMP riboswitch aptamer (ydaO/yuaA leader)
About the family: This family represents a conserved RNA structure found upstream of the ydaO and yuaA genes in Bacillus subtilis and related genes in other bacteria.
Source: RNAcentral
UAUAACAGCAUGCCGAAUUUUCGCGAGCGAAAAACGGGGGACCCAUUUCGUCAUACAAGCAUAGUUUACCGCGUUGAUAUGAUGAAGCGAAAACGGUGCGGCGCCGGCAAUGCCGGGCGAGCCGUUUCCGCUUGGGGUGAACGAAUCCGGCUGACAGUCAGCUGCGGAUUCCAGGGAACCUUCAACCGAACCCACAGCUAACCUCGUAGGCAAUUGAAGGGAGACUCG